GAUGAACGCUGGCGGCGUGCCUAAUACAUGCAAGUCGAGCGAACGGACGCGAAGCUUGCUUCUCUGAUGUUAGCGGAGGACGGGUGUGUAACACGUGGAUAACCUACCUAUAAGACUGGGAUAACUUCGGGAAACCGGAGCUAAUACCGGAUAAUAUUUUGAACCGCAUGGUUCAUAAGUGAAUGACGGUCUUGCUGUCUCUUAUAGAUGGAUCCGCGCUGCAUUAGCUAGUUGGUAAGGUAACGGCUUACCAAGGCAACGAUGCAUAGACGACCUGAGAGAGUGAUCGGCGACACGGGAACGGAGACACGGACCAGACUCCUACGGGAGGCAGCAGUAGGGAAUCGGCCGCAGUGGGCGAAAGCCUGACGCAGCGACGCCGCGUGAGUGAUGAAGGUCUUCGGAUCGUAAAACUCUGUUAUGAGGGAAGAACAGAUGUGUAAGUAACUGUGCACAGCUUGACGGUACCUAGUCAGAAAGCCACGGCUAACUACGUG
RNAcentral lists this ribosomal RNA (497 nucleotides) under uncultured bacterium. Its description in RNAcentral is "partial 16S ribosomal RNA". It matches the Rfam family "Bacterial small subunit ribosomal RNA", at positions 28 to 507 of the family's 1533-position model. The record is from RNAcentral.